RNAcentral lists this ribosomal RNA (768 nucleotides) under Triticum aestivum (bread wheat). Its description in RNAcentral is "partial small subunit ribosomal RNA". The record is from RNAcentral. Lineage: Eukaryota; Viridiplantae; Streptophyta; Magnoliopsida; Poales; Poaceae.
AUGGAAGCACUCCGGCCGUUAUCCAUAACGGCCGUGGCGGCGCUUCUCCGUGCUCCCCCCGUGCCGAUUUCUACCUUCGUUGGUACUGGUAGGGAAGUGGGCGGUAGGCGAGGGAAGAGUGUGAGAGCUGGCGCAGGCUGGCUGUGGGGCCUGCUGGGCCGGAAGGGCGGCGGCGGUGCGCCCACGGCGAUGACGGUGACACCAGGGACCGUGAAGGCCGGCGAUCCCGUGCUUCACGAGCCGGCACAGGAGGUGUCCCCUGGGGACGUGCCUUCCGAGAAGAUCCAGGGCGUCAUCGAUCAGAUGAUCGCUGUGAUGCGCAAAGCCCCUGGCGUUGGCCUCGCCGCCCCACAGAUCGGCGUGCCUUUGAAGAUUAUUGUUCUCGAGGACACCCAAGAAUACAUCAGCUAUGCUUCCAAGGAGGACAUCGAUGCACAGGAUCGCCGUUCCUUUGAUCUUCUUGUUGUUAUCAAUCCCAAGCUUAGGAAGACGAGUAAAAGAACUGCACGUUUCUAUGAAGGAUGUCUUAGUGUCGAUGGAUAUAGAGCGGUUGUUGAGCGUCAUUUGGAUGUUGAGGUUUCGGGUUUCGACCGAAAUGGACAUCCCAUGAAGGUGGAGGCAUCAGGAUGGCAGGCACGCAUUCUGCAGCAUGAGUGUGAUCACCUCGAAGGCACAUUAUAUGUUGACAAGAUGGUUCCGAGGACAUUCAGGACAGUUGAUAACUUGAAUCUGCCACUUGCCACUGGAUGUCCUCCUCUAGGUGCAUGA